Molecule: ribosomal RNA, 320 nt
Filed under: uncultured eukaryote
Lineage: Eukaryota
Description: partial 18S ribosomal RNA
Rfam family: Eukaryotic small subunit ribosomal RNA
Source: RNAcentral
CCCCUAGAUGUUCUGGGCCGCACGCGCGCUACACUGAACAGUUCAACAAGUCUUAACCUUGGCCGAUAGGUCUGGGUAAUCUUUGAACGCUGUUCGUGAUUGGGAUAGACCUUUGCAAUUAUGGGUCUUCAACGAGGAAUUCCUAGUAAACGCAAGUCACCAGCUUGCAUUGAUUACGUCCCUGCCCUUUGUACACACCGCCCGUCGCACCUACCGAUUGAAUGGUCCGGUGAAAUCUCGGGACGGCGGCUUGGUCGCUUGCGUCCGACUGCCGAAACUUGAUUAAACCAUAUCAUUUAGAGGAAGGUGAAGUCGUAACA